RNAcentral lists this ribosomal RNA (255 nucleotides) under uncultured bacterium. RNAcentral describes it as "partial 16S ribosomal RNA". It matches the Rfam family "Bacterial small subunit ribosomal RNA", at positions 57 to 305 of the family's 1533-position model. The record is from RNAcentral.
GCAAGUCGAGCGGUAACAGGAAUUAGCUUGCUAAUUCGCUGACGAGCGGCGCACGGGUGAGUAACGCGUAUGUAAUCUGCCUUGUACAGAGGGAUAGCCCAGAGAAAUUUGGAUUAAUACCUCAUAGUAUUACCGAAUCGCAUGAUUUGGUAAUUAAAGCUCCGGCGGUACAAGAUGAACAUGCGUGACAUUAGCUAGUUGGUAAGGUAACGGCUUACCAAGGCCACGAUGUCUAGGGGUUCUUAGAGGAUGAUC